CCUACGGGAGGCUGCAGUGGGGAAUAUUGCACAAUGGGGGAAACCCUGAUGCAGCGACGCCGCGUGAGUGAAGAAGUAUUUCGGUAUGUAAAGCUCUAUCUGCAGGGAAGAAAAUGCCGGUACCUGACUCAGAAGCCCCGGCUAACUACGUGCCAGCAGCCGCGGUAAUACGUCGGGGGCCAGCGUUAUCCGGAUUUAGUGGGUGUAAAGGGAGGGUAGACGGCCAGACAAGUCAGAAGUGAAAGCCCAGGGAUCAACCCUGGGACUGCCUUUGAAACUGCCGGGCUUGAGUGCAGGAGAGGUAAGCGGAAUGCGUAGUGUAGCGGUGAAAUGCGUAGAUAUUAGGAGGAACACCAGUGGCGAAGGCGGCUUACUGGACUGUAACUGACGUUGAGGCUCGAAAGCGUGGGGAGCAAACAGGAUUAGAUACCCUAGUAGUC
RNAcentral lists this ribosomal RNA (440 nucleotides) under uncultured bacterium. Its description in RNAcentral is "partial 16S ribosomal RNA". It matches the Rfam family "Bacterial small subunit ribosomal RNA", at positions 338 to 795 of the family's 1533-position model. The record is from RNAcentral.